Long non-coding RNA from Mytilus californianus (California mussel), 594 nucleotides. RefSeq lists it as uncharacterized. The transcript is spliced from 3 exons. The record is from RefSeq and is a predicted model, not a curated record. Lineage: Eukaryota; Metazoa; Mollusca; Bivalvia; Mytilida; Mytilidae.
CUUUUUUGUAAAAUACGUUCAUACACAUCCGUCACUUUUACGACUUAAAUAUUUAAAACUCAACCGUCAACGCUCUAACUGCUAGGAUGGAUACAGCAAAGAUUGUUACUCUGUUUCUUAUGUUAUCGUUUUUCAGAGGUGGUUUAAGCAGGUGUGAUAUUGGUUGGGUUCAUGAAAAUCAGUCAUGUUACUACUUUAGUCGAUUUUCUACAAACUUUUACACGGCACUGGUUUUCCCGAUUUUUAUAUUGGAUUGACCGACUUAUUCAGCGAGGGUGAUUGGCAAAAGGCGACAACGCUGGAAAGACAAAAUGUCCUAAAAUGGGCCAAUGGACAACCUGAUAAUGCGCACAACAAUCAGCAUUGUGUUCAAGUUUGGGUCUCAUCAAUGACAUUUGAUGACCUUUGGUGUCAUUAUGAUCGUCAUUUUGUUUGUGAGAAAUAAAAUGUCAAUUCCCUUACUAAUUAAGGAAUUCACGUUGCAUUUAUAUGAUAACAAUAAAAUUAAAAGUUUUCAUAAAUGCACAUCUUACGACGCCAUUUGACCAACUUAUUCUUUAAUUUUCAAUGUAUAAAUAAAACCUUUUGAAACAU